Solea senegalensis (Senegalese sole) is the source of this 1337-nucleotide long non-coding RNA. RefSeq lists it as uncharacterized. The transcript is spliced from 4 exons. NCBI's taxonomy places the organism in Eukaryota, Metazoa, Chordata, Actinopteri, Pleuronectiformes, Soleidae. The record is from RefSeq and is a predicted model, not a curated record.
AAGUCCGGAUGUAAAUGGAACGUAGCAUCCGUUCUACAAAUGAAUUCCCCGCUCGUGUUUGACAGUCGAGCUACAAACUGCGUCUCGGCUGAACUAACGUGCUCGGGGAUUAAUCACGGAACACUUCCACGUUAUUUACUCUGACAGAACGAGGCGUUACUGGAACGCGGCGCACGCACGACUCUGCCAAAGAGUUGUUUGACAAGUAGCAUCAGCUGGCGUCGCGUCAAGAUAAACACCACGCGGAGAUGAAUGUGUGAAGCUGAUUUAGAAAACACGUGUGUGUGUGUGUGUGUGUGUGUGUGUGUGUGUGUGUGUGUGUGUGUGUGUGUGUGUGUGUGUGUUCCCUGCAGGAGGCAGGAGAGUUAUCUGCAGAGGAUGGAGAGGACGACGACCCCGGUUCCUUUGACAUCCAGCAGUGCCACACACACGUCAUCCAGGAGCGAGUCAGUCGAGAGUAAACCGAAGAAAAGUUUGAGAGAAGUCCAGCUGGAUCAGAAGAGGGUGAACUCAGCGUUUCUGGACAGAAUCGAGGGCAGAGGCGGCGGCGUUCAGAAGGCGGAGCCUCCCUGUUUGUCCUCUGCUGAUUUACCACAGACGUCCUCUUCUCUGACUGGACGACAGGGUGGUUCCACUCACCUGGACGCGGAACCAUAACAGAACCACACACAGGAACAGGAAACUGAGUUGUAUCUUGACUAUGACUUUGUUUUGAGGAGACUGAUGAGCGACUUCCCACAAUGCAACAGAAAAUUCCUUGAGGACAUCAUCAACCAGUGCCACGGCGACUACGAGCAGAUUCACUCUCUGCUCAGCUGAAGUGGAAGAGUUGGGUUUUUGGUGGUAUAUGAGGUGUCAUCACAUACACAGACACAAGGGUUUAUAGGAAGAAAGUCAGUAUAUAUACAUAUAUACAUAUAUAUAUAUAUACAUAUACAGUAUAUGUAUAUAUAAGUAUAAUCAUUUGUUUUUUAUUUCCUUUUGUAUGAGCCUUCUAUUAUAGGGGCCGCCAUGUUUCUACAGGAAGUCAAACAGACAAACCAGCUGGAUCGUGCAUGUCUUCAUCUUUUUCUCUUGUAUUUAAAGGCCACUGUAGUUCCCUGACACACCAUCCUGCAUAUGCUGCGAUCUGCAGUUUCACCAGUAGAUGUCACUAUUUCCCACACACUGGACCUUUAGUAAAAAGCUUGUCUAAUAAAAUCAGCUCAAGUCUACUUUAUACUGUAGACUAUAUUUACCAUCUCUUUCACUGUUAGAUGACCCUUUAUUUGACUGAAAGGUCAAGUUAGUAAACCACUCACUCUCCCACACCAAAGCCCAGAGAGAAAAUCAGUGAU